CAAGUGCAAAGCCAACCUGUUACUCUUGAUAAUCUGGAUAAAAGGUCAAUGUAGCUGCAAUGAGCAAAGUACAAGUGGUAUAAAGUGUAAUCAGAGAGGCAGGUAGGGGCCAGAUUCCUUAGAGACUGGUUAUUGUAAGAGGUGUAUAUUAGAAGUGAAGUGGAAAGCUCUUGAUGGUUAUAAGCAAGGAGACAUCAUUAUCUAUUUUGAAUUUUUGGAAAAAUCAUGCUAUUUGGAUUUUGGAGCAGGAAGGACAGUAAGGAUCUCUGGUGUAAACAAAACUGAGACUCAGACUUGAUCUAUAGCAAUGAUAGUGGGGAGGAGUGAACAGUCAGCGUAUAUAUUGUAGUAAAAGUGCCUGAAGAUUUGCCUACAGAUUCAAAGUGAGAAUGAAGAGGAAAGAGGCAUGAAGAAUCAGGACUUCUAACAUUUGAAUAAAUAACUUGACAGAUGAUGAUAACAUGUAUCAAGAACCCAAUGCAUAUCAACUUAUUAAAGCAUCAUAAAGACGAAGUGCUUCCAAGUGUUCUUGUUUCCUGUCAUUUUCUUCUCCCAAGGUUGGUCAGAGAGGCACAUUUCACGUGCUGCAGAUCAUUCCUUUAUCUGUAAAGACUUCUCCCAUGGGUGUGAGGCAGAAGGAGUAAUUGUUGAAGUCGGGAAUUGUAUGUGUUCCCCACCCUUGUGAUUAACUCAAACAAGAAGGGAUGUGGCAAGAGCAGAGCCUGGAAAACUCAGACUUGAGAUAGAAACCAUGUUCUUGUUUUUCUCAACUGAUUAUGUUCAACAGUGCCAAAUAAAUAAUCCCGCAAAUUGGGAAGGGUGACCAGGAAAGCAGAGUGGGAAGCAACGGCAGAAAGAAGGACAAUCUCUAUUUCUCAAAAAUUCUUUUUGUAAUUUAAUAUGUUACUUGAGUGCCAUUAAAUAAGUUAUUUCUCUUAAUGUUUUUGCCUGAUGGAUCUAUGUGUCUUCUUUUUUAAAAAUGUUUGCAAUCAUUUUACCUUUCUGUGAAAAUACUUAUUUAAGGUGUAUUACGGAUUUGUAAUUAAAUCCAACAAAACUAAUGUGAUAAUUUUAAUGAAUUAAUUAAUAGGGAAGUGAGUCAGUAGGGAGUGCCUUCCAAGAUAUUAGCCAGCAUUCAUGGCCCUUUCCCCUGAAUGCCGGUAGCAUCACCUUUUUGGCUGUGAUUAUCAUAACAUCUCUGCAUAUCGGCAACUGUCUCUCCUACAGGGCUACAUUUUUACCCCUUCAACAAACUGAGCUCUAAAGAAAGAGAGCAUUGGCAAUUAGAAUGAAGAAAAAACAACUAAAAAAUAUGAUAUAACUGUAGAGAAAUAACACAAAUAAAGUCAAGCUUAGAAGGUAAUAGAGUGAAGAAAGACAAAAAGAAGGAUAGGUGAAGAUAUGAGUUUGGAGAGAGUAAAUGUAUAACUGAAGGACUCAAUGUUUCCCCCAAAAAGUAAAAGUGGAACAGCUACGAAAUGUGAGAGGGUGGUUUGAUGCUAGUAGAUUUUUAGUGGUUUGAUAAAGGAUAUGAUUAAGCUUUUGCAAUAAUAACAUGCCAAGGAAUGCUGAGGAGCAGCUGAGGUUGAAUAAUAACCUGAAGUGGUGCCAAUAGGCAAGCUGAUGAAAUAUUCCCCAGCAACAUUCAACCUCAAGAGAAUCAAUAAAUAGAAAACAAAUGGUGAAAAUGAUCAGAGUUUGAGGUUUUAACAGGGCAGGUGUGGUUCUGAAAGAAGAUGGAAAGAAAGAGAUCCCAGGAUAAAAUGUAGGUAAAAUGAUUAAUGAUUAGAUCCAGGCUGGGUUAUCAGGAAGAGAAUGAGUGAUAAUGGAAAAACCGGGAAGAAAAAUCAGUGAUUUAUUAAGUGUUUGGAGGUUUUGAUAAAUUCCAAAACUGUGCUUCAUGCAACUAAUAAAGUGGGACAAGUAACACUGUAAAAAUGUAUUUGUUAAAAGAGUUGGGUAUAUGUAUAUUAAUCCACGGAAGACAGUCUUCCUAUUGGAAAUAGACAUGUGCAUUGCAUAUGUACUGAUCUGAAUGUUUAGAACCCCCCUUACCAAUUAUUUGUAUAUGUGUACAUAUAUACAAUGUAUUAGCUAUAUCAAUCUUUUAUCUACUUAUCCAUCUAUCUACCUCUAGUUAACAUUUGAGAGUUUUGUUAUUUUU
RNAcentral lists this long non-coding RNA (2164 nucleotides) under Callithrix jacchus (white-tufted-ear marmoset). RNAcentral's name for it is "lncRNA (ENSCJAG00000082050.1)". The record is from RNAcentral. Lineage: Eukaryota; Metazoa; Chordata; Mammalia; Primates; Cebidae.